Molecule: ribosomal RNA, 482 nt
Filed under: uncultured bacterium
Lineage: Bacteria
Description: partial 16S ribosomal RNA
Rfam family: Bacterial small subunit ribosomal RNA
Source: RNAcentral
GAUGAACGCUGGCGGCGUGCCUAAUACAUGCAAGUCGAACGCUUCACUUCGGUGAAGAGUGGCGAACGGGUGAGUAAUACAUAAGUAACCUGGCAUCUACAGGGGGAUAACUGAUGGAAACGUCAGCUAAGACCGCAUAGGUGUAGAGAUCGCAUGAACUCUAUAUGAAAAGUGCUACGGGACUGGUAGAUGAUGGACUUAUGGCGCAUUAGCUUGUUGGUAGGGUAACGGCCUACCAAGGCGACGAUGCGUAGCCGACCUGAGAGGGUGACCGGCCACACUGGGAUUGAGACACGGCCCAGACUCCUACGGGAGGCAGCAGUAGGGAAUUUUCGGCAAUGGGGGAAACCCUGACCGAGCAACGCCGCGUGAAGGAAGAAGUAAUUCGUUAUGUAAACUUCUGUCAUAGAGGAAGAACGGUGGAUAUAGGGAAUGAUAUCCAAGUGACGGUACUCUAUAAGAAAGCCACGGCUAACUACGUG